This 241-nucleotide unclassified non-coding RNA is filed under the name Hevea brasiliensis (rubber tree). The record is from RNAcentral. Lineage: Eukaryota; Viridiplantae; Streptophyta; Magnoliopsida; Malpighiales; Euphorbiaceae.
CUACUUCGGUGUCUACGACUCCCUCAAGCCUGUUGUCCUCGUCGGUGCCCUCCAGGGUUCGUUCUUGGCUUCCUUCAUGCUUGGGUGGGGUGUUACCAUCGGUGCUGGUCUGGCGUCGUACCCUCUCGACACGAUUCGUCGUCGUAUGAUGAUGACUUCUGGUGCUGGCGUUCACUACAAGUCUAUGUUCGAUGCCGGUUCGCAGAUUGUCGCCAAGGAGGGCGUCAAGUCGUUGUUCAAG